ACGGCUCAGUAACACGUGGAUAACCUGCCCUUGGGUCCGGCAUAACCCCGGGAAACUGGGGAUAAUUCCGGAUAACGCAUAUGUGCUGGAAUGCUUUAUGCGUAAAAUGGAUUCGUCUGCCCAAGGAUGGGUCUGCGGCCUAUCAGGUAGUAGUGGGUGUAAUGUACCUACUAGCCGACAACGGGUACGGGUUGUGAGAGCAAGAGCCCGGAGAUGGAUUCUGAGACAUGAAUCCAGGCCCUACGGGGCGCAGCAGGCGCGAAAACUUUACAAUGCGGGAAACCGUGAUAAGGGGACACCGAGUGCCAGCAUCAUAUGCUGGCUGUCCAGGUGUGUAAAAUACACCUGUUAGCAAGGGCCGGGCAAGACCGGUGCCAGCCGCCGCGGUAACACCGGCGGCCCGAGUGGUGAUCGUGAUUAUUGGGUCUAAAGGGUCCGUAGCCGGUUUGGUCAGUCCUCCGGGGAAUCUGAUAGCUCAACUAUUAGGCUUUCGGGGGAUACUGCCAGACUUGGAACCGGGAGAGGUAAGAGGUACUACAGGGGUAGGAGUGAAAUCUUGUAAUCCCUGUGGGACCACCUGUGGCGAAGGCGUCUUACCAGAACGGGUUCGACGGUGAGGGACGAAAGCUGGGGGCACGAACCGGAUUAGAUACCCGGGUAGUCCCAGCCGUAAACGAUGCUCGCUAGGUGUCAGGCAUGGCGCGACCGUGUCUGGUGCCGCAGGGAAGCCGUGAAGCGAGCCACCUGGGAAGUACGGCCGCAAGGCUGAAACUUAAAGGAAUUGGCGGGGGAGCAC
RNAcentral lists this ribosomal RNA (796 nucleotides) under uncultured Methanosarcinaceae archaeon. RNAcentral describes it as "bacterial SSU rRNA". It matches the Rfam family "Archaeal small subunit ribosomal RNA", at positions 85 to 879 of the family's 1478-position model. Lineage: Archaea; Methanobacteriati; Methanobacteriota; Methanomicrobia; Methanosarcinales; Methanosarcinaceae. The record is from RNAcentral.